RNAcentral lists this ribosomal RNA (374 nucleotides) under uncultured prokaryote. RNAcentral's name for it is "bacterial SSU rRNA". It matches the Rfam family "Bacterial small subunit ribosomal RNA", at positions 524 to 896 of the family's 1533-position model. The record is from RNAcentral.
UACAGAGGGUGCAAGCGUUGCUCGGAUUUACUGGGCGUAAAGCGUGCGCAGACGGCUGAGCAAGUUGGACGUGAAAGCCCGGGGCUCAACCCCAGAACUGCGUUUAAUACUACUCGGCUUGAGUAUGAGAGAGGGAAGUGGAAUUCCUGGUGUAGAGGUGAAAUUCGUAGAUAUCAGGAGGAACACCAGCGGCGAAGGCGGCUUCCUGGCUCAUUACUGACGUUCAGGCACGAAAGCGUGGGGAGCAAACAGGAGUAGAUACCCUGGUAGUCCACGCCGUAAACGAUGCAUACUAGCUGUCGGGGGUAUAAACUCCUUCGGUAGCGUAGCUAACGCGUUAAGUAUGCCGCCUGGGGAGUACGGCCGCAAGGUUG